UUUCCCCGCGUGCUGGGGCCGGACGGACCCCGCUCCGCCCGUGUCCCCCUGCCCCGAACUCGGGGCUUCCUUCCCGUCCGGACACCAGGUCAACCCGGAGCCUGCCCCCGCCAGAGAACUCCCCCAGGCCAGCCUGCGAAGCCGCGGCCACUGAUCGGGCCCCUUGGAAGUCUUUUUUAAAAAAAUUCCCCGACCCCCAGAACGGGUUCUGGGGGGCAUCCGGACCACGCUCCGGCCAAAAAAGGAAAAAAAAAAAAAAAAAAAAAAAGGAUCGGGGCCACCCGAGGCAGGGGAGUCACCAGGUCAACCCGGAGCUUCCCUCGCGGGCUGGGGACGGACGGACACCGCUCCGCCCGCUUCUCCCUGCCUCGAGCUCGGGGCUUCUUUCCCGUCCGGACACCAGGUCAACCCGGAGCUUUCCCCGCGUGCUGGGGCCGGACGGACCCCGCUCCGCCCGUGUCCCCCUGCCCCGAACUCGGGGCUUCCUUCCCGUCCGGACACCAGGUCAACCCGGAGCCUGCCCCCGCCAGAGAACUCCCCCAGGCCAGCCUGCGAAGCCGCGGCCACUGAUCGGGCCCCUUGGAAGUCUUUUUUAAAAAAAUUCCCCGACCCCCAGAACGGGUUCUGGGGGGCAUCCGGACCACGCUCCGGCCAAAAAAGGAAAAAAAAAAAAAAGCGGAAAAAAGGAUCGGGGCCACCCGAGGCAGGGGAGUCACCAGGUCAACCCGGAGCUUCCCCCGCGGGCUGGGGACGGACGGACCCCGCUCCGCCCGUGUCUCCCUGCCUCGAGCUCGGGGCUUCCUUCCCGUCCGGACACCAGGUCAACCCGGAGCUUCCCCCGCGGGCUGGGGAAGGACGGACCCCGCUCCGCCCGGGUCUCCCUGCCUCGAGCUCGGGGCUUCCUUCCCGUCCGGACACCAGGUCAACCCGGAGCUUUUCCCGCCUGCUGGGGCCGGACGGACCCCGCUCCGCCCGGGUCCCCCUUCCCCGAACUCGGGUCUUCUUUCCCGUCCGGACACCAGGUCAACCCGGAGCCUGCCCCCGCCAUACAAGUCCCCCAGGCCACCCUGCGAUGCCGUGGGCAGGGAUCGAGACCCUGGAAGUCUGAAAAAAAAAUUCACCGACCGCAAAAGGGGUUCUGGGGUGCAUCCAGACCACUUUCCGCACAAAAAAAAAAAAAAAAAAACGGAAAAAAGGAUCGGGCCCACCCGAGGCAGGGCACUCACCGGGUCAAACC
Molecule: non-coding RNA, 1237 nt
Organism: Caretta caretta (loggerhead turtle)
Lineage: Eukaryota; Metazoa; Chordata; Testudines; Cheloniidae
Source: RefSeq, a predicted model, not a curated record